GGAAAGUGAAGAUGCUGCCCAAAGAGAUGAGCAGAUGCCAGAACCACAAACGGUGUCACUGGGAAACAAUGAAGAUGCCACCCAAAGACAGGAGGAAAGAAUAGAAAUGGUCACAAUGGUGCAGGAGAACGCCCCUGAAGCAGGAGUUGAUGUGAACUGCUCCAGUGGACUAACAGAAAAUCAAAGCAUCAUGUCAAUCCUCUCCUUUGCUUUGAGACACAACACUACAGGUGUAUUAAUGGAGGACUUGCUGAAACUGCUCAAGUUACAUUCUGCUGGGACUACUGUAGUUCCAUCAAGCAGG
Long non-coding RNA from Astatotilapia calliptera (eastern happy), 304 nucleotides. The record is from Ensembl. Lineage: Eukaryota; Metazoa; Chordata; Actinopteri; Cichliformes; Cichlidae.